Molecule: long non-coding RNA, 644 nt
Filed under: Nicotiana benthamiana
Lineage: Eukaryota; Viridiplantae; Streptophyta; Magnoliopsida; Solanales; Solanaceae
Description: long non-coding RNA (NBEN_LNC040813)
Source: RNAcentral
AAAGGUUCCGACGGCCAACAAUGCUCAGCACCGUAACUUCCACUAUAUGUGUCUACGUAUGCAGCAACACUAUAUUGCCUAUCAAUAUAGUUUGUUGCCCCAUAUCUAACUUGUUGAAAGCACUUCAACGGAUGUGCGCACGACAUGUGGUAGAUGGCCCAUUUUCCACAUGAACACAACCUUCUAUUUUCAUUCACAAUUUGUAGAUUAUUCCCACGGUGUCCGCGGAUAGCUGUCUUAACUUCAAAAACACCUCGUUCAUGAUCGUACUGAAGAAAUAAAUGCCACUGUGCUUGCCUCCUAGACCUUUCAAAUCUUCUCAUUGGUAUUGGCAUAAAUUCAACAACCCGGUCCAUCAAUGCUGAUGCAGCUGCAUGCCUUCAACAAACCUCUCUGCACUCUGUUUGAAUGUCUUGUGAACCAUGGCAGUGACAAGCAGUCCACGUGCAGACUUCAACAAACCGUUGAAUGAUUUCGACACGUUUGUAGUGAGGGCUCCCCAUCGUUUGCCUCCAUCAGCAUGCAAUGUCCACAUGUGAAGAUCAUGCCCCAUCAACCAAGUAUUGGCUCUUGGUUCUAACUACCGGAUCGCUUUCAUGCGCUUCGUGAAUUUGCACUGCUGGUGCUCAGUUGCAGCCAUCCAC